RNAcentral lists this long non-coding RNA (344 nucleotides) under Ananas comosus (pineapple). Its description in RNAcentral is "long non-coding RNA (ACOM_LNC004337)". The record is from RNAcentral. Lineage: Eukaryota; Viridiplantae; Streptophyta; Magnoliopsida; Poales; Bromeliaceae.
AUAUAUAUAUUAUUUAAUUUUUAGUCCAACAUAAAUAUAAAAUCUAUCUUAAUUAUAAAAAAUUUAUUUAUAUGUAAAAUUUUUAACCAUUAAAUUAAAGUCUAAUGAAUAUAAUUUUAUAAAUUUAUCUUAUUUAUAUAUAUUCUUUUUAAUUAUUUUAGCUUAUUGUUUGUGAGCCGGUUAAUGUUCGACUUGUUAAUAAACAAGUUGAACAUGAGCUGAAUUUUUCGGCUCAAUAUUUUAGUAUGUUAGCUCGAGUUCGGCUCGUUUAUGGACGAGUCGAUUCCAACUCGCUUGUGUUCGGCUCAUUGACACCCCUAUCUUUCGCUAUGCUUUUAAUACUA